GACGAACGCUGGCGGCGUGCCUAAUACAUGCAAGUCGAACGAAGCUGUUUUAACUGGUGCUUGCACCGACUUAAACAACUGAGUGGCGAACGGGUGAGUAACACGUGGGUAACCUGCCCCAAAGCGGGGGAUAACAUUUGGAAACAGAUGCUAAUACCGCAUAAUCACAGAAACCACAUGGUUUCUGUGUCAAAGAUGGUUUCGGCUAUCACUUUGGGAUGGACCCGCGGCGUAUUAGCUAGUUGGUAAGGUAAUGGCUUACCAAGGCAAUGAUACGUAGCCGAGAUGAGAGGUUGAUCGGCCACAUUGGGACUGAGACACGGACCAAACUCCGACGGGAGGCAGCAGUAGGGAAUCUUCCACAAUGGACGAAAGUCUGAUGGAGCAACGCCGCGUGAGUGAAGAAGGUUUUCGGAUCGUAAAACUCUGUUGUCAGAGAAGAACGUGUGCGAGAGUAACUGUUCGUGCAGUGACGGUAUCUGGCCAGAAAGCCACGGCUAACUACGUGCCAGCCGCCGCGGUAA
This 524-nucleotide ribosomal RNA is filed under the name uncultured bacterium. Its description in RNAcentral is "partial 16S ribosomal RNA". It matches the Rfam family "Bacterial small subunit ribosomal RNA", at positions 28 to 523 of the family's 1533-position model. The record is from RNAcentral.